CAUCGAAUUAAACCACAUGUACCUCCGCUUGUGCGGGCCCCCGUCAAUUCCUUUGAGUUUCACCGUUGCCGGCGUACUCCCCAGGUGGAAUACUUAACGCUUUCGCUUGGCCGCUUACUGUAUAUCGCAAACAGCGAGUAUUCAUCGUUUACUGUGUGGACUACCAGGGUAUCUAAUCCUGUUUGAUACCCACACUUUCGAGCAUCAGCGUCA
This 213-nucleotide ribosomal RNA is filed under the name uncultured Bacteroidota bacterium. Its description in RNAcentral is "uncultured Bacteroidetes bacterium partial 16S ribosomal RNA". Lineage: Bacteria; Pseudomonadati; Bacteroidota. The record is from RNAcentral.